RNAcentral lists this long non-coding RNA (900 nucleotides) under Nicotiana benthamiana. Its description in RNAcentral is "long non-coding RNA (NBEN_LNC013295)". The record is from RNAcentral. Lineage: Eukaryota; Viridiplantae; Streptophyta; Magnoliopsida; Solanales; Solanaceae.
CAGAAGAUACCAAACUCGUGCAGAAAAAAACAAAAUAUGCAUCUCAUGAAACAAGUAUACAUAUGACAGCAAUUCAGAUGAAUUUGUGAGUUUGACAAAUCACAGAACAAUUUCAAAUCCAAACACCAAUUAAAUUUGGCUGUAGGAUGCACAGGGAUGUCAUUUUCAUCGUUCAAGCUGAACACAGACUUCCCGAGACGAAAAUCUACACAUACCACACAAGUUCAAUUAUAGCUGCCAUUCAGCAAGGGAUCUGUACAAAUCCGCACCCCAUUCAUUCUAUGCUACUCAUGUCCGGCUUUCUUUUGAUAUAGAAAAACGCACCAAAUCCUUCGAAAGAUCACUUCUGAUAGCCAGGAGGAGGAUAACCGGAUGCAGGAUAACCAGCAGGCGGAUAGGCAGGAGCUGGAUAACCUUGUUGAGGAAGUGGUUGACCAUAAGCUUGUGGAGGAGGUGGAUGACCAUAAGAUUGUUGAGGAGGUGGUUGACCAUAAGCUGCCCCAUACGCUGGAGGAGGAUAUCCAACAGUCGGUGGGUAAGGCUGAUCUAGCCGUGACAUGUGCUGCACCGGCGGCACCGCCAUUGGUUGAGGACCAAACUUGCCAUCUCUCUUGUCCAUUUCAACCUUAUGUUGUGUCUGCAAUGCUCAUCAACCAUGUUAACCUCAGAUGUUAACUAUUAACUAGGAAACAGUUAGCUACUUUCUGCAUAAAGCUUACAAGCUCCAGCUAGUUGUACCUCCUCUCUUUUUUUUUUCUUUUUCUUUUAUUGUGAAUAACCUCGGCUUUUGACUUCAUAUUAUCAUUUUGUUUUUACCACAUCAACCAUUGUAAAUUUUUUGUUCAUAUCUAUAUGAGAAGCAUUUCAUGUUUGAUAUAUUAAUUUAAGUUUCUUGCUUAC